AUAAAAAGAAGAAGAUA
RNAcentral lists this small RNA (17 nucleotides) under Arabidopsis thaliana (thale cress). RNAcentral's name for it is "ATSL306190". The record is from RNAcentral. Lineage: Eukaryota; Viridiplantae; Streptophyta; Magnoliopsida; Brassicales; Brassicaceae.